GAUGAACGCUAGCGGCAGGCCUAACACAUGCAAGUCGAGGGGUAGAAGGAGCUUGCUCCUUUGAGACCGGCGCACGGGUGCGUAACGCGUAUGCAAUCUACCUUGUACAGGGGAAUAGCCCAGAGAAAUUUGGAUUAAUGCCCCCUAGUAUAUAACCUUCGCAUGUUGGUUAUAUUAAAGUUUCUACGGUACAAGAUGAGCAUGCGUCCCAUUAGUUAGUUGGUAAGGUAAUGGCUUAGCAAGACGAUGAUGGGUAGGAGGCCUGAGAGGGAGAUCGCCAACAGUGGGAAUGAGCUACGGCACAGACUAGUAGGGGAGGGGGCAGUGGGGAAUAUUGCAUAAUGGGCGGAAGCCUGUUGCAGCAAAGCCGCGUGCGGGAUGAAGACCUUCGGUUUGUAAGAAGAAUUCGCCUGUGCGGAAGGGUGAGUGACGGUAAUGGGUAAAGAAGCACCGGCUAACUACGUG
This 465-nucleotide ribosomal RNA is filed under the name uncultured bacterium. Its description in RNAcentral is "partial 16S ribosomal RNA". It matches the Rfam family "Bacterial small subunit ribosomal RNA", at positions 28 to 507 of the family's 1533-position model. The record is from RNAcentral.